Molecule: ribosomal RNA, 1298 nt
Filed under: Escherichia coli
Lineage: Bacteria; Pseudomonadati; Pseudomonadota; Gammaproteobacteria; Enterobacterales; Enterobacteriaceae
Description: partial 23S ribosomal RNA
Rfam family: Bacterial large subunit ribosomal RNA
Source: RNAcentral
AUAAUGGGUCAGCGACUUAUAUUCUGUAGCAAGGUUAACCGAAUAGGGGAGCCGAAGGGAAACCGAGUCUUAACUGGGCGUUAAGUUGCAGGGUAUAGACCCGAAACCCGGUGAUCUAGCCAUGGGCAGGUUGAAGGUUGGGUAACACUAACUGGAGGACCGAACCGACUAAUGUUGAAAAAUUAGCGGAUGACUUGUGGCUGGGGGUGAAAGGCCAAUCAAACCGGGAGAUAGCUGGUUCUCCCCGAAAGCUAUUUAGGUAGCGCCUCGUGAAUUCAUCUCCGGGGGUAGAGCACUGUUUCGGCAAGGGGGUCAUCCCGACUUACCAACCCGAUGCAAACUGCGAAUACCGGAGAAUGUUAUCACGGGAGACACACGGCGGGUGCUAACGUCCGUCGUGAAGAGGGAAACAACCCAGACCGCCAGCUAAGGUCCCAAAGUCAUGGUUAAGUGGGAAACGAUGUGGGAAGGCCCAGACAGCCAGGAUGUUGGCUUAGAAGCAGCCAUCAUUUAAAGAAAGCGUAAUAGCUCACUGGUCGAGUCGGCCUGCGCGGAAGAUGUAACGGGGCUAAACCAUGCACCGAAGCUGCGGCAGCGACGCUUAUGCGUUGUUGGGUAGGGGAGCGUUCUGUAAGCCUGUGAAGGUGUACUGUGAGGUAUGCUGGAGGUAUCAGAAGUGCGAAUGCUGACAUAAGUAACGAUAAAGCGGGUGAAAAGCCCGCUCGCCGGAAGACCAAGGGUUCCUGUCCAACGUUAAUCGGGGCAGGGUGAGUCGACCCCUAAGGCGAGGCCGAAAGGCGUAGUCGAUGGGAAACAGGUUAAUAUUCCUGUACUUGGUGUUACUGCGAAGGGGGGACGGAGAAGGCUAUGUUGGCCGGGCGACGGUUGUCCCGGUUUAAGCGUGUAGGCUGGUUUUCCAGGCAAAUCCGGAAAAUCAAGGCUGAGGCGUGAUGACGAGGCACUACGGUGCUGAAGCAACAAAUGCCCUGCUUCCAGGAAAAGCCUCUAAGCAUCAGGUAACAUCAAAUCGUACCCCAAACCGACACAGGUGGUCAGGUAGAGAAUACCAAGGCGCUUGAGAGAACUCGGGUGAAGGAACUAGGCAAAAUGGUGCCGUAACUUCGGGAGAAGGCACGCUGAUAUGUAGGUGAAGCGACUUGCUCGUGGAGCUGAAAUCAGUCGAAGAUACCAGCUGGCUGCAACUGUUUAUUAAAAACACAGCACUGUGCAAACACGAAAGUGGACGUAUACGGUGUGACGCCUGCCCGGUGCCGGAAGGUUAAUUGAUGGGGUCAGCG